GCAGUCGAACGGCAGCACGGGGGCAACCCUGGUGGCGAGUGGCGAACGGGUGAGUAAUACAUCGGAACGUGUCCUGUAGUGGGGGAUAGCCCGGCGAAAGCCGGAUUAAUACCGCAUACGCUCUACGGAGGAAAGGGGGGGAUCUUAGGACCUCCCGCUACAGGGGCGGCCGAUGGCAGAUUAGCUAGUUGGUGGGGUAAAGGCCUACCAAGGCGACGAUCUGUAGCUGGUCUGAGAGGACGACCAGCCACACUGGGACUGAGACACGGCCCAGACUCCUACGGGAGGCAGCAGUGGGGAAUUUUGGACAAUGGGGGCAACCCUGAUCCAGCAAUGCCGCGUGUGUGAAGAAGGCCUUCGGGUUGUAAAGCACUUUUGUCCGGAAAGAAAACGCCGUGGUUAAUACCCGUGGCGGAUGACGGUACCGGAAGAAUAAGCACCGGCUAACUACGUGCCAGCAGCCGCGGUAAUACGUAGGGUGCAAGCGUUAAUCGGAAUUACUGGGCGUAAAGCGUGCGCAGGCGGUCCGCUAAGACAGAUGUGAAAUCCCCGGGCUUAACCUGGGAACUGCAUUUGUGACUGGCGGGCUAGAGUAUGGCAGAGGGGGGUAGAAUUCCACGUGUAGCAGUGAAAUGCGUAGAGAUGUGGAGGAAUACCGAUGGCGAAGGCAGCCCCCUGGGCCAAUACUGACGCUCA
Molecule: ribosomal RNA, 696 nt
Filed under: Burkholderia sp. Z31_2
Lineage: Bacteria; Pseudomonadati; Pseudomonadota; Betaproteobacteria; Burkholderiales; Burkholderiaceae
Description: bacterial SSU rRNA
Rfam family: Bacterial small subunit ribosomal RNA
Source: RNAcentral